This 335-nucleotide small RNA is filed under the name Drosophila pseudoobscura pseudoobscura. Its description in RNAcentral is "GA31213". The record is from RNAcentral. Lineage: Eukaryota; Metazoa; Arthropoda; Insecta; Diptera; Drosophilidae.
UGGUGGAUCUUCGCUCUGAAAUUGGAUCCAUAAAGGCAAAGGUUUGUAGAGAGAUCCUCAAACCAAAGAAGCUAUGCCUUACCAACCGUUUAAAACUAUAGAAGAACUGGACCGUUUCGACCAUAGCUUGAAGGAUGAAAGUUUCUUUAAAAAUGUGAUUGUACAGAUUAAUGAUGUCGGCCGAAAAGGCAUUUGAUAAAGGUAUUCGGAGCUCUUCGCGAUCCAUUAUCGCUAAUGAUGCCAAAAGGUGAAUAAAGGGCUUGCGGGUUAUUCUAGCCAUCCGUACGAGAUUUAAUGAAAUAUUUUCUUUGGAAGACGGUGAUUUUGACCGGGCA